GGGAGAGCUAGGCUGGCGCGCUAGUCCUGCGCUGUUACUGUGAAUGGACUUUACACGGAGCCGAAGCCCAAAGAAGGAUUGCCAUGGUCUCAUUGGUCCCUGCUGUCUUUGCCGACGGUUUGUCCCAGGGGAUGGACUUGCUGGGAAUCAGGUCAGAUUCGGAAGAAAGCAGCCUUAACCUUCAAUCUCUAUGUUCCUGGGGUCGCAAGCCCGAGAAGCUGCGGGGGUUAAACCAACUGGGGCUGUAGCCAUUCGACCACGGGCGUGCCCC
RNAcentral lists this signal recognition particle RNA (271 nucleotides) under Candidatus Woesearchaeota archaeon. RNAcentral describes it as "signal recognition particle sRNA". It matches the Rfam family "Archaeal signal recognition particle RNA". The record is from RNAcentral. Lineage: Archaea; Nanobdellati; Candidatus Woesearchaeota.